GGCAAGGCUUGGGGGUAGUGUAUGGGUGUUGUGUGGAAGGUGUGGAGAUGAAGAAUGGUGGUGGAAAUCGGCAGAGAUGGAGGAGGACUGGUUUCUGAGGUUGUGGAUGGGUUUUGACGAAUUUGGGAGAGUGUGUGGCUGAAUGGAGAUGUUUGUGGCUGCACAAACAUGUUUAUUUAAAGGGAUUAGGAAAUUAAAAACCCUAGACUAAUUAGGUAAUCAGGAAUUAAGUUUAAAGCUUCUAGAAUUAAGGAAACAAAUCAGAAAAUUAAAGGAAAUAGCAAGGGAAAUUCGGCUAGGGUUAAAAACACAAAAGGAAAGUGUUUUAAAGCCUAGAAUCAGGAAAUAAGAAAGAGGAAAUACCAAGGGGGGUGCGGCAAGGGUUCAAAAGGUGCAAGAAAUGUGUAUUUGAUGUCCUAGAAUGCUUAGGAAGUCUUCAUAAUUGCUGGAACUUUUAGGGACAAUUAGGAAAAAUCAAACCAAAGUAGGAAACCUUGGCUUAACUUUCCUACUUCAAGUAGGAAUCCUUGUUGGAGGAGGAAUCCUUGUUCUUCUAGGAAUCCUCAUGUGAUUAGGAAUCCAUCUUCAAUUAGGAAUCCUUCGUUGAUUAGGAAUCCUUCGUUGAUUAGGAAUCCUUCGUCGAUUAGGAAUCCUCCUUCAUGUAAGCACUUUCCUACUUCAACUAGGAAACCUUGUUCAAGUAGGAAUCAUCAUCUUCAAGUCUUCAAAUUCGUCCAAACCUUGGCUCCAAUUAUGUGAUAAUCAUUCCAAGCCCAAUUUUGCUCCAAAAAGCUCCAAAAUGCAUCUUCUUGCAUCCUUUGGCCUUAAAACCUGAAAACACAUAAAACUAGCUUAAAAGACUACUUUAACUAAGAAAACACCAUGGAAAUGCAUAAGAACUAGCUAACUAAGGCGCAUAAAUAUGCUCCUAUCAAAUUCCCCCACACUUAGCUUUUGCUAGUCCUCGAGCAAAACAAACAAAAGAAAGGAAACAAAACGAAACAAACUAACCAAAACAAAACCUAAACCUUCCAACAUUUGCUUAGGGAUUUCCAAUGCACAUGACAUGUUAAAGAUUGUUAUCCCCACAGAUUUGAGUUCUCUUUACUCGUAAGCACAUACUUAAUUAAAGCCACUACUUACUAGUUCACAAGUAAUCAAUUAAAACAAUGCUUUGAAUGUGGUAACAUGCCUUAGAGAAUUCCCUCAAUUCCUUACAAGAUAUAUACUCUAUUUUCACUCAGAUUUUCUAACUCCACACCCUACACUAGUCAUAUGUGAGAAGAUUGAUGUAGAUAUGAAAACGAAUGCUCACAUAUAUGUUUCACAAAGAACGCAAUUUCUAGAGUUAAGAAGCAUGUUUAGAUAUGAUCUCAUGAAUGGAAUGCUACUACUUAGAUGCAAGAGCCAGUGACACCAUAUGCUCAUACCAAAUUCAAACUCCACAAAUUGAAACACAUAACACUCAAGAUAGAAGUUAAGGGUUGUAAUGGGGCUUGGGGUGUUGGUUAACAAGGAAAGGAUAGGGAAACAAACGUUCUUAAAGCAUAAUAAGCAAAGUAAUGAAAUCUAGACUUAGAAUCACUUAUGAUUGCAGAAACUCACUUAGACCCUUUCUUCAACUACCAUAAACAUGUGAACUUAUUUUCACUUAUUUCAUACUCUUUUUUUUUUUCUUUCUUUCCACAACUUUUUCUUUUCUUUUUCCACGAAUUUUUUUUUUUUCUUUUUAUUUUCACUCAUGCCUUAUUUCUUUUCUUGGCAUAUCAACACACACAUACAAAUUCCCCCACACUUGUUUUCUGCCAUACAUUAAUCAAAAGGGAUUCAAUUUGAAUCAUGCUUUACUAUGCUUCAAGAACAAGGGUAUGGAUGGUCCUAAUCUAGGCUAGGUAGGUGUAAUGUGGGUUAACAAAGACAAUGGCUAAACAAGGCUCAACGGGGUUAAACCUAAACAUAUAAUGGAGCAGGGCACACGGCUUUUUGGCUAAGGUGGUGGUCACUACACAACUUCAUCUUGAAUAUGUGUUAUGCAAAUCAAUAACAUGCUUUGAAUGAAAUGGGCAUGAGUUCUAGCAUUUGGAACUAAAUGAUGAAACGCCUUUUAAGUAGCAACCAAGCAAGGAAUAAUGAGAUCAUGCAACGACUUAGAAAACAAAGAAUGCACAGAAUUUAACUCUCCAAAUAAACGUUUAGGCUCAAGUCUCACAAGGUUGUAGCGUUAGUUUGAGUUCCUUCCUUCAAGCAUGUUACAAAAACUGAUUUUUUCUUUUAUGAUUGCAUGUGAAUUCAUAAGUUAUAACCACAACCAAGCAUAAACAAAGAGUAAAUCAAACUUUCAUCCAUGUUAAUCACUCUUCUUUAACAGCCAUGUAAUUACAAACCGAAUCCUCGUCAUUGUGUUGGAAGGUACCCUAAGACACAAACAAACACACAAAAACAACUCUUUUUGGGUUUUUCAAAACAAAUUUUUCAAAUUUUUAUGAGAUUUUCGGAUUUCUAUGUCUAAACACACCAAAAUGCUUCAAAACAUACUAAAAACACUUAAAACAGCAAGAAACAACAUUGUAAGUGAUAGGUGAAUAAAACCCACGAAUUUUCAUGCAAACAUAUUGUUUACCCCCCCACACUUAAAUCAAACAUUGUCCUCAAUGUUUCAAGCAUAAACUAACAUAAACAAAAAUCAAACAAACAAACAGCAACUAAACACACUAAUCAUGGCAGAUGGUAAACAACAAAGAGAAGGGUUUGAGAAAUUCAAAUCUGGAAUUGGAGUGCUCUCUAGGUCUUCCUUUGUCGAAUGCAUGGGUUGCCUCCCACGAAGCGCUUUCUUUUACAUCUUGCAGCCGGACGAAGAACAUGAUCAUGCCCCAUUGGAGCCCACGGCAUGGAGUGGGAUCUCCUCCACAACCUGCCCCACAAAGUUCUUGUACAUUGCAUCCUUGAACGGAAAUGGAUAGUGAUGUUUGUUGAUGGGUGCGUUGUGUUGCCUAAGGUUCAUGUUCAUGCGCCCACCAUCGGGGAUUUGCUUGGGUACCUGCACCAAAGAAGGGAACCAACUAUCAACUUUAAUGGGAAUUGGAUUUGGACUAGGUGCCUUACCUUGGUGUUGUGAUGAAGUGGCAGCAACAUGAACUUUUUUCCUCAUGGUGUUCUCGGCCACAUUGGGUAUCUUAAGGGCAGUGGCCGUGGGGUCCUUAUGCUCUACUUUAAUUCCCUCGUCUUGCAUGGCUCUUGAUGCAACCUUUGUGUUAGGGGCUGAAUGGUCCGUCCCUAUCUUUUCUAUUGUAUCAAUAACACAACAAGAAUGAACAACGUUAGGCGUCUCAAUGGAUUCAGAAAUUUUAAAACAAAUCAUAUCACCACCAAAUGCCAUAGUUACUUCUCCUUUGGCUACAUCAAUCUUGGUUUGAGCCGUUUUCAUGAAAGGCCGUCCAAGGAGAAUGGGCAAUGAAGGAGCAUGAUCCGAUUCAUCCAUCUCAAGAACAUAGAAAUCCGCCGGAAGAUCAAAUGAUUAACCUGCACCAAAACAUCUUCCACAACUCCCUUUGGAUAUGCAUUAGAUCUAUCGGCCAAUUGUAUGAUUACACCAUCAUUUUUUAACUUGCCUAGGUUCAUAGAUGCAUAAAUUGAAUAUGGCAUAACAUUUAUGGAUGCACCUAAGUCUAACAUGGCAGAUUUGAACCUAGUAUUACCAAUGACACAAGGAAUGGUGAAACUACCCGGAUCUUUGCAUUUAGGAGGUAGUUUACGUUGUAUCAUGGCAGACACAUUCUCACUUACCUGUACCACUUCUUUCUCCCGAAAACGUUUCUUUGUUGUACAAAGCUUCUUCAAACACUUGGCGUACUUCGGGAUUUGCUUGAUUGCAUCCAAGAGAGGUAUGUUAACUUGAACCUUCCUAAAUGUCUCUAGAACAUCUUUUUCCUCCUCUUCAUUCUUGAAUUGCGCAAAUCUGCGAGGGAAAGGAACAUUGGGCAGAUUAGUGUUUGAAUUCACAACAUUUGGAACAACAUUACCUGAGGUGGACGGAUGGGAGGGCUUAGGUGGCUGCGGCAUAGGUGGUACCACCCUUGCCGUGGGGUGUGAUGGCUCUUCCUCCUUGUUUUGGGCAGAUUCAUGUGCUUUGCUUCCUACUUCUUUUCCACUUCUUAGGGUGAUAGCUUUUGCAGAUUCAAACCCACCCUUAGGAUUGACUACCGUAGUGCUUGGUAACUUACCAUUCUCACGAAUUUGCCCCAAAAAUUCUGCCAUUUGGCCCAUUUGCUUCUUGAGCUCAUUAACUUCCUUUGCUUGGGUCUGCAAUCCCUGCGCCAUUGUGGUCAGUAAUUGAUAAGUUUUAUCAUCAUUCAUAGAAGUACCUGAGUUGUUUUGUGAUGAUUGUGCUUGAGGAGGUGGUUGUGGUGCCAUUGGCCUUGGAAUGAAACCCGGAGGUUGUCGGAAUCCACCUUGUUGGGCAGGUUGUUGUGCAUCUCUCCAUCUGAAAUUUGGGUGGUCACGCCAUCCUUGAUUGUAUGUAUUAGAGAAAGGAUCACCCCUUGGUUGGUUUUGAUUCCCAUAACCCACGGCAUGGGCAGAUUCCCACCCUCCAUUUUCAAUUAAUUGAGGGCAUUGAUCCGAUUGGUGUCCUUGAAUGGAGCAUACACCACAGAUUGUAGUUCCUUGCGUUUUGGGGCCUUCAACAAACUGCGAUAACAUAGAAGUAAGGUUAGCCAUUUGGGAUUGUAACUCAGAAAUAGAACUUACCUCAUUUACAUGAUGUGACCGUGGGGUAUCUCUCUGCCCAACACCUUCAUAUUGUUGUGCGUUGUGUGCUCGGUUCGCAAUGAGAGUCUUGGCAGCCACCGGAGUCAUGUCCACCAAUGCACCACCCGCCGAGGCAUCUAGCAUUUGGCGUUCCAUGGGAAGGAGUCCUUCGUAGAAGUAUUGAAGGAGCAACUCCUCCUUCAUUUGAUGCUGUGGACAAGAAGCAACAAGAGUUUUAAAACGUUCAUAAUAUGUUGGAAAUGACUCACCUUGGCUUUGUUGGAUGCCACUAAUGCGUUUCCUCAAAAGAAUGACUCUUGAGGUUGGAAAGAAUUUUUCCAAAAACGCUCGUUUCAUGCUCUCCCACGAGGUAACCGUCCCCGGGGCCAAUUCAUACAACCAAUCUUUAGCUUUAUCCAUUAGAGAGAAUGGAAAAGCUUUCAUCUUCAAAAAUGUUGCCAUCAACAUUUACCGGCGUCAUGCUUGAACAAACAACUUCAAACUCCUUCAAGUGUUUGUUUGGGUCUUCCAUGGACAGCCCAUGGUACUUUGGAACAUGAUGUAACAAGCUCGACUUCAAUUCGAACUCCUCGGUUUUCCCUUGGGCUGCCGCGGGGUAUUGGAUGCAAAGAGGGGCUGCAUUAUCCAAACCCGAGGCAGAAAGCUCCUUAAUGGUUCGGUUGUCCGCUGCCAUCUCUUGGUUCUCCUCUACAACUCUAGCCGUGGGCUCUUCUUCCUCUUCAAAUUCGUUUUCUUCGCAAUGAGGUUCCGGGCUAGGUGGAUUGGAUGCUUGUUGCCUUCUUGUUCUUCUCAAAGUUCGCUCAAAAUCGUCGUCGAACUCCAAAAUGUUUGCUUGGACAGAUUUGGAACUUCGAGUCAUACACUUGUACCUAAAACAAGAAAACAAGAAACCAAGUCAGAAACUGAAUUUAAAACAAACAAAAAUAACACAAAAAUAAAUAACGAGGGAUUAGCAACUUUGCUAAUCCCCGGCAACGGCGCCAAAAUUUGAUGUGAAAAUUAACUUAACACACAAAUUAAACCCUAUUUGUGACAAUUGUAGUAAUGAUGUAAGUAGGGAUCGUUCUAACCGGGGAUUAACUAGGGGUGCUAAUCUAAUACAAAUCGACUUAGAAACACAAAAACUAAACUUAAAGACUCUAAUUAGACUACUAAGAUUCAAAACAGAUUUGAAACACUCAAAUCUGCCCAAAACUGACUAAAACAAAAUAAUUGACUCAAACAGCAACUAAGACAAGAUUUGGACGAAUUUGACAAAACUUAUGACUCAAAAUACUUAAAAAACACCAAAGAGGACAGAUUAUGAAGACUCAAACUUAACAAAAUAUGGGGGAAUUGUGUUUGGACGAAUUUGAACUAAAUGCACAGAUUGUAAAUUAAAACAAAUUGUGAACUAAAUGUGAUGAAUCAAUGGGUGAUGGAAUGGCUAAGGGGUUCUUCUCCACACAUGAAAUUUAUGCAACGUAAUCGAUUUCCAGUUAUCAAAUUCAAUAAGUUAUGAACCUCGACACUCCAAGUUAAUUAGGUCCGCUUAAAUUAACUUUCAGAUUUCCCUAGAAUCAUUGAAUUGGAUGAAUAUGCAUCGCAAACAAAUUAUUCCUAACAAGUUCUCUAUAUGAACAGCAUGAUAAAGAUACAAGUUAGAAUCAUUAAGUUCUUUGGAAAUCAUAAGCAUCGACAAGGCAAUUGUUAACUAUGAAAAGCAUGAUACUCCUGCCAUGAAUUUACUUAACACGAUCGUGACUAGCGAUCUUCACUACUUGCGAAUAUAAAUUCAUAACGAUUAGGUGUAACAAACUUAUAUUCUAGCAACCAAAUUCCAGCAUGCAAAUCAAGCGUGCACUCUCAAUCAACAUACAAGAAUAAGUUUUGAAUUAAACGGUUAAGCAAAUUGUAUUCACGACUUAUGCAACGAUAACUGGAAGUAAUCAACUUAUUUCACAUAAAUAAACAUGGUUUUGAAUACACCCUUAGCCAAAACGAAUUUAGCCAAUCAUACUCAAUGAAAAACAAAGAUUACAAGAAGUAGACAUUGAAAUAUAAGAUAGAAAUACACCUAAAAUUGUUCAACAACUCAGAUUGAAGAGCCAAACAAUUUUCAUGAACUGUCUCCUUCUCUUCUCCUUGCGGCAGAUUGGGGGGAGGAUGAUUUCUGGGGGGUUUUUGUGAUGUAGAAUGGAUUAUGGAUGGUGUAGGGGCACGGCAAGGCUUGGGGGUAGUGUAUGGGUGUUGUUGUGGAAGGUGUGGAGAUGAAGAAUGGUGGUGGAAAUCGGCAGAGAUGGAGGAGGACUGGUUUCUGAGGUUGUGGAUGGGUUUUUGACGAAUUUGGGAGAGUGUGUGGCUGAAUGGAGAUGUUUGUGGCUGCACAAACAUGUUUAUUUAAAGGGAUUAGGAAAUUAAAACCCUAGACUAAUUAGGUAAUCAGGAAUUAAGUUUUAAAGCUUCUAGAAUUAAGGAAACAAAUCAGAAAAUUAAAGGAAAUAGCAAGGGAAAUUCGGCUAGGGUUAAAAACACAAAAGGAAAGUGUUUUAAAGCCUAGAAUCAGGAAAUAAGAAAGAGGAAAUACC
Molecule: long non-coding RNA, 7334 nt
Filed under: Malus domestica (apple)
Lineage: Eukaryota; Viridiplantae; Streptophyta; Magnoliopsida; Rosales; Rosaceae
Description: long non-coding RNA (MDOM_LNC021177)
Source: RNAcentral